RNAcentral lists this antisense RNA (75 nucleotides) under Pseudonocardia oroxyli. RNAcentral describes it as "ASpks TB sRNA". It matches the Rfam family "ASpks TB sRNA". Lineage: Bacteria; Bacillati; Actinomycetota; Actinomycetes; Pseudonocardiales; Pseudonocardiaceae. The record is from Rfam by way of RNAcentral.
CUUGAGCGACCCCAGCAGCAGGGGCCGAUCGGCGGGUCGCUCCCGCCCGUAGGUGGCCAGCAGGGCCUGGGCCUC